This 620-nucleotide ribosomal RNA is filed under the name uncultured bacterium. RNAcentral's name for it is "bacterial SSU rRNA". It matches the Rfam family "Bacterial small subunit ribosomal RNA", at positions 338 to 1414 of the family's 1533-position model. The record is from RNAcentral.
CCUACGGGAGGCAGCAGUGGGGAAUUUUGGACAAUGGGCGCAAGCCUGAUCCAGCAAUGCCGCGUGCAGGAUGAAGGCCUUCGGGUUGUAAACUGCUUUUGUACGGAACGAAACGGCCCUUUCUAAUACAAGGGGUUAAUGACGGUACCGUAAGAAUAAGCACCGGCUAACUACGUGCCAGCAGCCGCGGUAAUACGUAGGGUGCGAGCGUUAAUCGGAAUUACUGGGCGUAAAGCGUGCGCAGGCGGUUAUAUAAGACAGAUGUGAAAUCCCCGGGCUCAACCUGGGACCUGCAUUUGUGACUGUAUAGCUAGAGUACGGUAGAGGGGGAUGGAAUUCCGCGUGUAGCAGUGAAAUGCGUAGAUAUGCGGAGGAACACCGAUGGCGAAGGCAAUCCCCUGGACCUGUACUGACGCUCAUGCACGAAAGCGUGGGGAGCAAACAGGAUUAGAUACCCUGGUAGUCCACGCCCUAAACGAUGUCAACUGGUUGUUGGGUCUUCACUGACUCAGUAACGAAGCUAACGCGUGAAGUUGACCGCCUGGGGAGUACGGCCGCAAGGUUGAAACUCAAAGAGUAGUGCGUGNGAGAGACGACGACGACGACGACGGAGGAGGAGG